This 497-nucleotide ribosomal RNA is filed under the name uncultured bacterium. RNAcentral's name for it is "partial 16S ribosomal RNA". It matches the Rfam family "Bacterial small subunit ribosomal RNA", at positions 28 to 507 of the family's 1533-position model. The record is from RNAcentral.
GAUGAACGCUGGCGGCGUGCCUAAUACAUGCAAGUCGAGCGAACGGACGAGAAGCUUGCUUUUCUGAUGUUAGCGGCGGACGGGUGAGUAACACGUGGAUAACCUACCUAUAAGACUGGGAUAACUUCGGGAAACCGGAGCUAAUACCGGAUAAUAUUUUGAACCGCAUGGUUCAAAAGUGAAAGACGGUCUUGCUGUCACUUAUAGAUGGAUCCGCGCUGCAUUAGCUAGUUGGUAAGGUAACGGCUUACCAAGGCAACGAUGCAUAGCCGACCUGAGAGGGUGAUCGGCCACACUGGAACUUGGACGCGGUCCAGACGCCUGCGGGAGGCAGCAGUAGGGAAUCUUCCGCAAUGGGCGAAAGCCUGACGGAGCAACGCCGCGUGAGUGAUGGAGGUCUUCGGAUCGUAAAACUCUGUUAUUAGGGAAGAACAUAUGUGUAAGUAACUGUGCACAUCUUGACGGUACCUAAUCAGAAAGCCACGGCUAACUACGUG